UUUAGUAAAAAAAAAAGAAGUAGAAUCUCCAAAUAGAUCAUCAAGAGUGUAAAGCCAUUGCUGAGGUUCGAAGAUCAGCGUUUAUUUCAGCAACAUGUGAUUUACUUCAGAUCACUGAAAGGUCAGAAACCUGGCCUGAGGGACGUCGUGUCGUUUAGUCCAAAAGAUCUGAUUACAGAGAUCACACACACACACACACACACACACACACACACACACACACACACACAAACACACUAAGGGGGAAAUUUAUCUUAGCCAAUCCCCUUACUGCCAUGUUUUUAGGAGGUGGGAGGAAACCGGAGAAUCCGGAGGAAACCCACACAGACACGGGGAGAACAUGAAGAAGAACUCCACACAGAAACCCGACUCCGGAUCGGACCGGGACUCUGAGACGGCGGCGCUUCCUGCUGCACCACAUCACUCAAUAUUCAGUGAGAUGGAACUGUUGAACGGACUGUUUUUAUUUCUGGUUGUUUUGAGAAAAGCAUGCUGGGAAAUAAAUUACUGCAGUAACAUUAAGUUUCUGUUGCUCUUUGGCUUCGUAUCGGUUCGCUAGCAAGCGUUCUAACAAGCUGUUAUGAGAAAUGAGAGUGAUAAACUAAACAGAAACAUCAUCAUAGACCCAUGAGAUCUUAUUAUUUAUUCAUGCGCUUAUUUCCUCUCAGAUUGAUUCCUGUAAUUCCCUCUACAUGGAAUUACGCUUGACUCCAGUCACCAAAACUCACUACUGCUGAUCUGGAGACGUACGCUGCAGCAGCGGAGCUCCUCGGACCCGUCACCCCUCCUAAUACCCAUCUUCUGUUGGCUGGGGAGGUGUCCGAGUCAACUGUAUGCAGGAAAAUCCAAUGUGUUUGUCAGAAUUUUUCGGAUUCUGACACGUCAGGGACUUGUCUCACUCACUCACGUGUCUCACUCAGGUAAGUGUCUCACUCACUGAUGUGUCUCACUGACAUGUCUCACUCACUGACGUGUCUCACUGACAUGUCUCACUCACUCACGUGUCUCACUCAGGUAAGUGUCUCACUCACUGAUGUGUCUCACUGACAUGUCUCACUCACUGACGUGUCUCACUGACAUGUCUCACUCACUCACGUGUCUCACUCAGGUAAGUGUCUCACUCACUGAUGUGUCUCACUGACAUGUCUCACUCACUCACGUGUCUCACUCAGGUAAGUGUCUCACUCACUGACGUGUCUCACUGACAUGUCUCACUCACUCACGUGUCUCACUGACAUGUCUCACUCACUCACGUGUCUCACUCAGGUAAGUGUCUCACUCACUCACGUGUCUCACUGACAUGUCUCACUCACUCACGUGUCUCACUCAGGGAUGUGUUUCAUAGCUCCAGAGUUCCCGGGUCGAUCCUGAGCUCAGGUUAUUGUCUGUGUGGAGUUUCUGAACCUGUUCUCCUGUGUUCUUGUGGGUUUCCUCUGGGUUCUCUUCUGUCUUCCAAAAACAUGCUGUUAGGGGAACUGGCUAUGCUAAAUGACCCCCUAGGUGUGAACGUGUGUGCAUGCUUCCAUCCAGGGUGUACCCCACACCCCAGUUUUAUACUCACCCUGAGCAGGAUAAAGCGCUUAUUUAGUUAUGAAUGUAUUCAGUUCAGUUCAGUGUUAUUAGUGCAGCGUGUUUAACGGUGGACGUCGUCCCGG
Molecule: long non-coding RNA, 1655 nt
Organism: Ictalurus punctatus (channel catfish)
Lineage: Eukaryota; Metazoa; Chordata; Actinopteri; Siluriformes; Ictaluridae
Source: Ensembl